CCUCUUGCCAUCAGAAUGUGCCCAGAUGGGAUUAGCUAGUAGGUGGGGUAAUGGCUCACCUAGGCGACGAUCCCUAGCUGGUCUGAGAGGAUGACCAGCCACACUGGAACUGAGACACGGUCCAGACUCCUACGGGAGGCAGCAGUGGGGAAUAUUGCACAAUGGGCGCAAGCCUGAUGCAGCCAUGCCGCGUGUAUGAAGAAGGCCUUCGGGUUGUAAAGUACUUUCAGCGAGGAGGAAGGCAUUAAGGUUAAUAACCUUAGUGAUUGACGUUACUCGCAGAAGAAGCACCGGCUAACUCCGUGCCAGCAGCCGCGGUAAUACGGAGGGUGCAAGCGUUAACGGGAUUACUCAA
Molecule: ribosomal RNA, 355 nt
Filed under: uncultured Enterobacteriaceae bacterium
Lineage: Bacteria; Pseudomonadati; Pseudomonadota; Gammaproteobacteria; Enterobacterales; Enterobacteriaceae
Description: bacterial SSU rRNA
Rfam family: Bacterial small subunit ribosomal RNA
Source: RNAcentral